Long non-coding RNA from Adelges cooleyi (spruce gall adelgid), 691 nucleotides. RefSeq lists it as uncharacterized. The record is from RefSeq and is a predicted model, not a curated record. The transcript has 4 exons. Lineage: Eukaryota; Metazoa; Arthropoda; Insecta; Hemiptera; Adelgidae.
UGUAUUUCCACUAAUUGUUUAAUGUAUUGAGUACAUGGUACUCGUGCUUUUGAUACAUGUUGGCGAAAACGCUGUUAUCCAUAUUAUGCGCACCUUAGUGUAUACAUUCAAACAAUGUAAACAUUAUUAAAAUUCAUAGUUUGUGUCAUAGCCACUAUGUUUUGUGCUCGUAUGUUGAAAUAGACAAUGAUAAAUGGAAUAGGUUUACUUUAUGUGAAUUUGCAAUGAGUAUGCCUAGAACAUUGCUAAACGCUUUCGUGUCAAGUGUGUUAUAUGAUGUAAUAUGUAAAAUGUAAUCACUCAAAAGCAAGAAAAGAAUUUUAUUUGCCACGGUAGUCUUUGUAUCAAUUUUUACUUUAUUGAUCGACAUACGGAACGUUCUAAAAUAUUCACUAACUAAAAUGACUCCGUGUGUCGUUGAAAAGAGUCUGUAUUUGUAUUCAAAAAUAAGGCUCAAAAGACAUUAGAAAACUGUCCUAUUUGCACAUAUAAAGUCUAACGUGAACGCUCAAUUAGUAAUCGACAACCUGUAUGGAAAUUCAUUUUGUACAACUUAACUCUUUGAACGUCAUCGAAAGAAUUGCGAGGAAAAUAUUUGAUUAAAUCAACUAUCCUGGAUUAUAUUAUGCAAGUUGCAAAUAUUUGUCUUAUAUAUGAUGAACCGGAAUGUUAGCUGUCUUGUUUGUUAAUU